GAUGAUAUAACAUGGGAGGAAGACAAAAGACAACGUUAUUUAUGACAAAAGAGGUUAGAAAAGAGAAGAAGAGUAGUCAAACUAAUCCUCAACCCGCUUCAAAAUAAAUUUGCUUAUGACUAGUAGAACUAAAACGAGUAAAGUAGUGUAAAUGAUAACGUAAU
Molecule: small RNA, 164 nt
Filed under: Saccharolobus islandicus HVE10/4
Lineage: Archaea; Thermoproteati; Thermoproteota; Thermoprotei; Sulfolobales; Sulfolobaceae
Also listed under: 1 other name
Description: Sulfolobus islandicus HVE10/4 non-coding RNA
Source: RNAcentral